CCCUUAGACGUUCUGGGCCGCACGCGCGCCACACUGACCAGUGCAACAAGCAUCCGUCCUUGGCCGACAGGCCCGGGCAAUCUUUGAACGCUGGUCGUGAUGGGGAUAGACUUUUGCAAUUUUUGGUCUUCAACGAGGAAUUCCUAGUAAACGCAAGUCAUCAACUUGCAUUGAUUACGUCCCUGCCCUUUGUACACACCGCCCGUCGCACCUACCGAUUGAAUGGUCCGGUGAAGCCUCCGGAUUGGCGCGCACCUCGGUGCCGCCGAGAAGUUGGCUAAACCUUACCAUUUAGAGGAAGGUGAUGUCGUAACA
RNAcentral lists this ribosomal RNA (315 nucleotides) under uncultured eukaryote. RNAcentral's name for it is "partial 18S ribosomal RNA". It matches the Rfam family "Eukaryotic small subunit ribosomal RNA", at positions 1470 to 1796 of the family's 1831-position model. The record is from RNAcentral.